This 503-nucleotide ribosomal RNA is filed under the name uncultured bacterium. RNAcentral describes it as "bacterial SSU rRNA". It matches the Rfam family "Bacterial small subunit ribosomal RNA", at positions 28 to 537 of the family's 1533-position model. The record is from RNAcentral.
GAUGAACGCUGGCGGCGUGCCUCAAACAUGCAAGUCGAGCGGGGCUAUGUAAUAUCGCAAGGUAGAACAUAGCCUAGCGGCGAACGGGUGAGUAACACGUGGGUAACCUGCCUGGAAGACAGGGAUAACGAUUCGAAAGGGUCGCUAAUACCUGAUAAUAUCCUUUCAUCGCAUGGUGAUAGGAAGAAAGGGGAAACCCGCUUUUCAGAUGGGCCCGCGUCCCAUCAGCUAGUUGGUAAGGUAAAGGCUUACCAAGGCGACGACGGGUAGCCGGUCUGAGAGGAUGUACGGCCACACUGGGACUGAGAUACGGCCCAGACUCCUACGGGAGGCAGCAGUUGGGAAUCUUAGGCAAUGGACGAAAGUCUGACCUAGCGACGCCGCGUGAGGGAAGAAGGCCUUCGGGUUGUAAACCUCUGUCACUGGGGAAGAAGUAAGUGACGGUACCCCAAGAGGAAGCCCUGCUAACUACGUGCCAGCAGCCGCGGUAAUGAGUAGUACGA